GGAGAAAAGCAGGGGAUCGCAAGACCUUGCGCUAAAGGAGCGGCCGAUGUCUGAUUAGCUAGUUGGUGGGGUAAAGGCUUACCAAGGCAACGAUCAGUAGUUGGUCUGAGAGGACGGCCAACCACACUGGGACUGAGACACGGCCCAGACUCCUACGGGAGGCAGCAGUGGGGAAUUUUGGACAAUGGGCGAAAGCCUGAUCCAGCCAUGCCGCGUGAGUGAAGAAGGCCUUCGGGUUGUAAAGCUCUUUUAGUCGGAAAGAAAGAGUUGCAAUGAAUAAUUGUGAUUUAUGACGGUACCGACAGAAAAAGCACCGGCUAACUACGUGCCAGCAGCCGCGGUAAUACGUAGGGUGCGAGCGUUAAUCGGAAUUACUGGGCGUAAAGGGUGCGCAGGCGGUCUUGCAAGUCAGAUGUGAAAUCCCCGGGCUUAACCUGGGAAUUGCGUUUGAAACUACAAAGCUAG
This 465-nucleotide ribosomal RNA is filed under the name Nitrosomonas sp. enrichment culture. RNAcentral's name for it is "bacterial SSU rRNA". It matches the Rfam family "Bacterial small subunit ribosomal RNA", at positions 198 to 644 of the family's 1533-position model. The record is from RNAcentral. Lineage: Bacteria; Pseudomonadati; Pseudomonadota; Betaproteobacteria; Nitrosomonadales; Nitrosomonadaceae.